RNAcentral lists this unclassified non-coding RNA (227 nucleotides) under plant metagenome. Its description in RNAcentral is "partial contains small subunit ribosomal RNA and internal transcribed spacer 1". The stretch from base 1 to 46 matches the Rfam family "Eukaryotic small subunit ribosomal RNA", at positions 1786 to 1831 of the family's 1831-position model. The record is from RNAcentral.
AAGUCGUAACAAGGUUUCCGUAGGUGAACCUGCGGAAGGAUCAUUACAGAGUUAGGGUCCUUGUGGCCCGAUCUCCAACCCUUUGUUUAAACCACUUUGUUGCUUUGGCAGGCCCGCUCUUUCGGGGGCCGCCGGGGGUGUUAAGUCACUUCUGGCCAGUGCUUGCCAGUAGCCAAAAUAAAUUCUUUAAUAAUACAGUCUGAAUCUUUAAUUAAAUAUAAUUAAAA